This is a non-coding RNA of Salmo salar (Atlantic salmon), 54 nucleotides long. Lineage: Eukaryota; Metazoa; Chordata; Actinopteri; Salmoniformes; Salmonidae. The record is from Rfam.
UGCAUUCAAUACUGUAAGUCACUCUGGAUAAGAGCGUCUGCUAAAUGACUAAAA